This 95-nucleotide small RNA is filed under the name Flavobacterium frigoris. Its description in RNAcentral is "Flavo-1 RNA". It matches the Rfam family "Flavo-1 RNA". Lineage: Bacteria; Pseudomonadati; Bacteroidota; Flavobacteriia; Flavobacteriales; Flavobacteriaceae. The record is from RNAcentral.
UUUGUGUCGCGUGAAGGAUGGCAGUGGAAAUCCUUUUAUAGCAUGGAGCGAUAGCAGAAUGAUAAAAAAGAUUGCAACGAACAGCCUGACCUCGU